Long non-coding RNA from Nicotiana tabacum (common tobacco), 821 nucleotides. RefSeq lists it as uncharacterized. Lineage: Eukaryota; Viridiplantae; Streptophyta; Magnoliopsida; Solanales; Solanaceae. The record is from RefSeq and is a predicted model, not a curated record.
ACCACUAUUGCGUACCAGAGUUUCUAAUAAAAUACAGUCGAACAGGUAUUUAGCGGCAACUGAUAAAGUAGUCGCCACAAAAGAUCAUUUGACGCGAUCAGGUCGCUACUAAAAGUAGACCUUCUAGUGGCAAUCUUUAGGUCGCCUCUAAUUCUUUUGUUUUGAUAUGUAAAUGUACAUUAAAGUUUAUAGGUUUAGUUCCCAAAUCUUAUUUCCCCCAAAAUUCCAUUCGGCCUUUCCCCAGCAAACCCGAUAUCCUCUCCCCAAAAUUCCUCCACAACAUCGCUUCUCUAUUAAGUUCCAUGGGCGAUUUUCCUUCUCCCUUCAAGCGUCUCUUUUUCUCUCUCUUAUCUUUCUCCUCCAUAUUUUUUGCUCUUAUCUAACCUAAAUCUACCCGAGCCCUAGUGAAUCAACUCAAUGUGAAGAGAAUUGUAAGAAAAGCAUACAGAUUUUCUGCUCUCUACCUUAAGGCCUUCAAUCGUUAGAUUCUGAGCAAAUGGAUUCGAGGGAUGAUUAUUGGGAAUAUUAGGUUUCGGCGACUGAUGCAGAGCUCUUUAAGCGAGCAUGGCGGAAUCAAAAGGCUGCUCGGCUGGAUUGGUUCAGAGAUCUAGAGAAUAGAUUCAAUUAAUGGAAGAAGGUUCUUAAACAACCACAAAUGGCGUUGACCAAGGAAGAGUUUGAAGACACUUAAAUUUUAUUUUUCCUUUUUGUCGUAUGUAUAUGUGUACAAUGACAAUGAGCAAUGUAGUAUUGUGUGGUAUAUAUUUAACUCACUUUGUGAUAAUGAAAGCAUUUAUAAUAUUUGACUUGUUGAAUAAUUU